AACGCAUCUUGCGCUCCCUGGUAUUCCGGGGAGCACACCUGUUCGAGUGUCGUGAAUACCUCAAGCUGUCUACCUUUGUGUAGUCAGCUUGGACUUGGACUCUUGCCGUGUUCGCCAUGGCUAGUCUUAAAUACAUUAGCUGAUCCUCGCUCUGUGUGUCUGGUUCUACUCAGCGUGAUAAGUUUCUGACCGCUGAGGACAUCUGCCUAACCGUAGAUGGCCAGAUGGACCUUGGGUUGCUUCUAACCUGUCUGCUGAAAUCAUUCAGCAACACCCCUCUUCACCUUUGACCUCGAAUCAGGUGGGACUACCCGCUGAACUUAA
RNAcentral lists this unclassified non-coding RNA (324 nucleotides) under uncultured fungus. Its description in RNAcentral is "partial contains 5.8S ribosomal RNA, internal transcribed spacer 2, and large subunit ribosomal RNA". The record is from RNAcentral. Lineage: Eukaryota; Fungi.